RNAcentral lists this ribosomal RNA (253 nucleotides) under uncultured bacterium. RNAcentral's name for it is "partial 16S ribosomal RNA". It matches the Rfam family "Bacterial small subunit ribosomal RNA", at positions 524 to 776 of the family's 1533-position model. The record is from RNAcentral.
UACGUAGGGUGCGAGCGUUGUCCGGAAUUAUUGGGCGUAAAGAGCGUGUAGGCGGCCAGAUAAGUCCGCUGUGAAAUCUCGAGGCUCAACUUCGAGCUGUCGGUGGAAACUAUCUGGCUAGAGUCCGGAAGAGGAGAAUGGAAUUCCUGGUGUAGCAGUGAAAUGCGUAGAUAUCAGGAGGAACACCGAUGGCGAAGGCAGGUCCCUGGGCCGAAACUGACGCUGAGGAGCGAAAGCGUGGGGAGCGAACAGG